CUGAGUUACCGCUCUAUAACCCUUUGUGAACAUACCUAACCGUUGCUUCGGCGGGCAGGGGAAGCCUCUCGCGGGCCUCCCCUCCCGGCGCCGGCCCCACCACGGGGACGGGGCGCCCGCCGGAGGAAACCAAACUCUAUUUACACGACGUCUCUUCUGAGUGGCACAAGCAAAUAAUUA
Molecule: unclassified non-coding RNA, 180 nt
Filed under: uncultured Glomerella
Lineage: Eukaryota; Fungi; Ascomycota; Sordariomycetes; Glomerellales; Glomerellaceae
Description: sequence contains ITS1
Source: RNAcentral